AGUAAGGUGGCAGAAAAGUGCCUCAGAUUUAAGCUCUGAUCAUGAAGCUAUUACUUCCCUUUCUA
This 65-nucleotide transfer RNA is filed under the name Pseudocuneopsis sichuanensis. RNAcentral describes it as "tRNA-Leu". The record is from RNAcentral. Lineage: Eukaryota; Metazoa; Mollusca; Bivalvia; Unionida; Unionidae.